GCCCCGGUAGCCUAGCCUGGUGGGGCGUCGGCUUGGUAAGCCGAAGGUCGCGGGUUCGAAGCCCGCCCGGGGCUCCA
RNAcentral lists this transfer RNA (77 nucleotides) under Candidatus Bathyarchaeota archaeon. Its description in RNAcentral is "tRNA-Thr". It matches the Rfam family "tRNA". Rfam says of the family: Transfer RNA (tRNA) molecules are approximately 80 nucleotides in length. Their secondary structure includes four short double-helical elements and three loops (D, anti-codon, and T loops). The record is from RNAcentral. Lineage: Archaea; Thermoproteati; Candidatus Bathyarchaeota. RNAcentral also lists the same sequence under 1 other name.